GACGAACGCUGGCGGCGUGCUUAACACAUGCAAGUGGUGCGACGAACCAGGGCUUGCCCUGGGGCAAAGCCGCGAACGGGUGAGUAACACGUGGGUAAUCUGCCCCGAUGACCGGGACAACCCGAGGAAACUCGGGCUAAUACCGGAUGAUGAGCCUUGGCGUAAGCCUUGUCUCUAAAGGAAGCUUCGGCCUCCGCAUUGGGAGGAGCCCGCGGCCCAUUAGCUUGUUGGUGGGGUAAUGGCCUACCAAGGCAACGAUGGGUAGCUGGUCUGAGAGGACGAUCAGCCACACUGGGACUGAGACACGGCCCAGACUCCUACGGGAGGCAGCAGUGGGGAAUUGUUCGCAAUGGGCGCAAGCCUGGCGACGCAACGCCGCGUGGAGGAUGAAGACCUU
This 397-nucleotide ribosomal RNA is filed under the name uncultured bacterium. RNAcentral describes it as "bacterial SSU rRNA". It matches the Rfam family "Bacterial small subunit ribosomal RNA", at positions 28 to 418 of the family's 1533-position model. The record is from RNAcentral.